This 253-nucleotide ribosomal RNA is filed under the name uncultured bacterium. RNAcentral describes it as "partial 16S ribosomal RNA". It matches the Rfam family "Bacterial small subunit ribosomal RNA", at positions 524 to 776 of the family's 1533-position model. The record is from RNAcentral.
UACGUAGGGUGCAAGCGUUGUCCGGAAUUAUUGGGCGUAAAGAGCUCGUAGGCGGUCUGUUGCGUCGGCUGUGAAACCCGGGGCUCAACUCCGGGCCUGCAGCCGAUACGGGCAGACUAGAGUUCGGCAGGGGAGACUGGAAUUCCUGGUGUAGCGGUGAAAUGCGGCAGAUAUCAGGAGGAACACCGGUGGCGAAGGCGGGUCUCUGGGCCGAUACUGACGCUGAGGAGCGAAAGCGUGGGGAGCGAACAGG